RNAcentral lists this ribosomal RNA (397 nucleotides) under Escherichia coli. Its description in RNAcentral is "bacterial LSU rRNA". It matches the Rfam family "Bacterial large subunit ribosomal RNA", at positions 1 to 428 of the family's 2925-position model. Lineage: Bacteria; Pseudomonadati; Pseudomonadota; Gammaproteobacteria; Enterobacterales; Enterobacteriaceae. The record is from RNAcentral.
GGGUUGUGAGGUUAAGCGACUAAGCGUACACGGUGGAUGCCCUGGCAGUCAGAGGCGAUGAAGGACGUGCUAAUCUGCGAUAAGCGUCGGUAAGGUGAUAUGAACCGUUAUAACCGGCGAUUUCCGAAUGGGGAAACCCAGUGUGUUUCGACACACUAUCAUUAACUGAAUCCAUAGGUUAAUGAGGCGAACCGGGGGAACUGAAACAUCUAAGUACCCCGAGGAAAAGAAAUCAACCGAGAUUCCCCCAGUAGCGGCGAGCGAACGGGGAGGAGCCCAGAGUCUGAAUCAGUGUGUGUGUUAGUGGAAGCGUCUGGAAAGGCGCGCGAUACAGGGUGACAGCCCCGUACACAAAAAUGCACAUAUUGUGAGCUCGAUGAGUAGGGCGGGACACGUG